RNAcentral lists this ribosomal RNA (259 nucleotides) under uncultured Leptotrichia sp. RNAcentral's name for it is "partial 16S ribosomal RNA". It matches the Rfam family "Bacterial small subunit ribosomal RNA", at positions 96 to 355 of the family's 1533-position model. The record is from RNAcentral. Lineage: Bacteria; Fusobacteriati; Fusobacteriota; Fusobacteriia; Fusobacteriales; Leptotrichiaceae.
UGGCGGACGGGUGAGUAACGCGUAAAGAACUUGCCCUUUAGACUGGGAUAACAGAGGGAAACUUCUGAUAAUACUGGAUAAGUUAGUAUAUCGCAUGAUAUACAAAUGAAAGCUACGGCACUAAAGGAGAGCUUUGCGUCCUAUUAGCUAGUUGGUAAGGUAAGAGCUUACCAAGGCGAUGAUAGGUAGCCGGCCUGAGAGGGUGGACGGCCACAAGGGGACUGAGAUACGGCCCUUACUCCUACGGGAGGCAGCAGCU